CGACAUGCAACGGGAGCAGGAACCUUGAGCACUGCAAGAGAAGUGUCAGCCAAGUGAGGCCAUGGCUAGAGCCAUGGAUCUUCCCUGCAGCCUGCUCUGUCUGGGUCAAAAACCCCUCUGAGGCUGUCAGCCAGCCAUUGUCAGGGUGAUGGGCUGCCCCUGGCUACACCAGCAUCUAUGGACAGAGUGGACAGGCCUGUGGAGCUGGCAGGGAGGGCUGUCCAGCAGCACGGGCACCGGAAGGGAUGGUGACACUGCACCACCAGUGCCCUUCCCUGGCUCAGCGCCCAGUGCCAACAGAACACCUUGCAGGAUCCUCAGCAGCGCAGACAACACUCCAAGAUGCCGGCCUCGGCUUGGAACGGAGCGGUGUCAUGGCGGAGACGACGGCCUUUGUCUCGCAGGGUGUGAAAGCAUCCGUUGUGCUGGCUCCACUGCGGCAGAAUGAUGUCUAAAGGGGGGAAAAGUGCUGGAAGUCCGAGUUGUGCGGCGCUGGCGGGGGAGCCCCAUCCCCAUGGUGUGCGUCCGAGGAAGGGCUCGCGGCGGAGGAGCCUGCUGGAUGCUCAAGAGCAGAGGAUCUAUCAACUGCAGACCAAGCAGAGGGAGAGGCAGGCAGACCUGGAGCAGAAAUGCAGCCAGAGCAGCAGCUCAGCCAGGACCUGGGGGCCAGCCACAAGCUACGGAAGGGAGCUUGGAGCAGCUUGUUCUAGGAGAAGACAGUGCAAUUUGGUGAUUGAUUCCUGGAGUCUGGUUGGUGCAUCCAUGCUGGGGUAUAGAGGCCACAGAUCCUGCGGCGCCUCCCGGAACACUCUGCCAGCCUCAGCCACCCACAGCCCAUGGGCUCUGGAAGCAGAAAUGGGCUCUUGCAUUCCAUCAAUGUGAGUGGAUAUUUUUCUCCCAUUAAAAUGUUUUAUUUAUUUUUGAAUACAUAUGAGUUUUGGGGGUGCACCACACCCUGUGUG
RNAcentral lists this long non-coding RNA (962 nucleotides) under Serinus canaria (Common canary). Its description in RNAcentral is "lncRNA (ENSSCAG00000009112.1)". Lineage: Eukaryota; Metazoa; Chordata; Aves; Passeriformes; Fringillidae. The record is from RNAcentral.